This 471-nucleotide ribosomal RNA is filed under the name uncultured bacterium. RNAcentral's name for it is "bacterial SSU rRNA". It matches the Rfam family "Bacterial small subunit ribosomal RNA", at positions 19 to 518 of the family's 1533-position model. The record is from RNAcentral.
CUGGCUCAGGAUGAACGCUGGCGGCGUGCCUAACACAUGCAAGUCGAGCGAUCUCUCGGAGAAGAGCGGCGGACGGGUGAGUAACGCGUGGGUAACCUGCCUCAUACACAUGGAUAACAUACCGAAAGGUAUGCUAAUACAGGAUAAUAUAAGAGAUUCACAUGGAUUUCUUAUCAAAGCUCCGGCGGUAUGAGAUGGACCCGCGUCUGAUUAGCUAGUUGGUAAGGUAACGGCUUACCAAGGCGACGAUCAGUAGCCGACCUGAGAGGGUGAUCGGCCACAUUGGAACUGAGACACGGUCCAAACUCCUACGGGAGGCAGCAGUGGGGAAUAUUGCACAAUGGGCGAAAGCCUGAUUGCAGCAACGCCGCGUGAGUGAUGAAGGCCUUCGGGUCGUAAAACUCUGUCCUCAAGGAAGAUAAUGACGGUACUUGAGGAGGAAGCCCCGGCUAACUACGUGCCAGCCGCCGC